CCCUUAGAUGUUCUGGGCUGCACGCGCGCUACACUGAUGCACUCAACGAGUUUACGACCUUGCCCGAUAGGGUUGGGUAAUCUUUUUAAAAUGCAUCGUGAUGGGGAUAGAUUAUUGCAAUUAUUAAUCUUCAACGAGGAAUUCCUAGUAAGCGUGAGUCAUCAGCUCGUGCUGAUUACGUCCCUGCCCUUUGUACACACCGCCCGUCGCUCCUACCGAUUGAGUGCUCAGGUGAAUAAUUCGGACUGCAGCAAUGUUUGGAUCCCGAACGUUGCAGCGGAAAGUUUAGUGAACCUUAUCACUUAGAGGAAGGAGAAGUCGUAACA
This 326-nucleotide ribosomal RNA is filed under the name uncultured eukaryote. Its description in RNAcentral is "partial 18S ribosomal RNA". It matches the Rfam family "Eukaryotic small subunit ribosomal RNA", at positions 1470 to 1796 of the family's 1831-position model. The record is from RNAcentral.